AACGAACGCUGGCGGCAUGCCUAACACAUGCAAGUCGAACGAGACCUUCGGGUGUAGUGGCGCACGGGUGCGUAAAGCGUGGGAAGCUGCCCUUAGGUUCGGAAUAAUUCUCUGACAGGGGUGCUAAUAUAGGAUAAUGUAUUCGGACAAAAGAUUUAUCGCAUUUGGAUGGGCACGCGUUGGAUUAGCUAGUUGGUAGGGUAAGAGCCUACCAAGGCGACGAUCCAUAGCUGGGCUGAGAGGAUGGGCAGCCACACUGGGGCUGAGACGCGGCGCAGACUACUACAGGAGGCGGGAGUGGCUAAUAUUGGACAAUGGGCUGAGUCCUGAACCAGCUAUGCCUCGAGAGUCAUUAUGUCCUUAAAGAAGAAAAGCUCUUUUAUCCGGGAUGAUUAUGACGGUACCGAAAGAAUAAGCACCGGCUAACUCCGUG
Molecule: ribosomal RNA, 433 nt
Filed under: uncultured bacterium
Lineage: Bacteria
Description: partial 16S ribosomal RNA
Rfam family: Bacterial small subunit ribosomal RNA
Source: RNAcentral